Molecule: small RNA, 830 nt
Filed under: uncultured Chrysosporium
Lineage: Eukaryota; Fungi; Ascomycota; Eurotiomycetes; Onygenales
Description: eukaryotic LSU rRNA
Rfam family: Eukaryotic large subunit ribosomal RNA (bases 551-830)
Source: RNAcentral
CUUGGUCAUUUAGAGGAAGUAAAAGUCGUAACAAGGUUUCCGUAGGUGAACCUGCGGAAGGAUCAUUAAAUGAAGCAACCUAGGAGCCUGAGAUAUGGCCACCGGGCACACCUUCCACCCUUUGUUUAUCACACUUUGUUGCUUUGGCAGGCCUGCCUUCGGGCUGCUGGCUCCGGCCGGCGAGCGCCUGCCAGAGGACCCAAACUCCGUUUGUCUGUAACGUCUGAGUACUAUAUAAUAGUUAAAACUUUCAACAACGGAUCUCUUGGUUCUGGCAUCGAUGAAGAACGCAGCGAAAUGCGAUAAGUAAUGUGAAUUGCAGAAUUCAGUGAAUCAUCGAAUCUUUGAACGCACAUUGCGCCCCCUGGUAUUCCAGGGGGCAUGCCUGUCCGAGCGUCAUUACAACCCUCAAGCCUAGCUUGGUGUUGGGCUCCGCCGCCUGGCGGGCCCUAAAGUCAGUGGCGGUGCCGUCCAGCUCCGAGCGUAGUAACUCUUCUCGCUCUGGAGGCCUGGGCGCGUGCUUGCCAGCAACCCCCCAAUUUUAUCAGGUUGACCUCGGAUCAGGUAGGGAUACCCGCUGAACUUAAGCAUAUCAAUAAGCGGAGGAAAAGAAACCAACAGGGAUUACCUCAGUAACGGCGAGUGAAGCGGUAACAGCUCAAAUUUGAAAUCUGGCCUCACGGCCCGAGUUGUAAUUUGUAGAGGAUGCUUCGAGCAUGGUCCGGCCUAAGUUCCUUGGAACAGGACGUCAUAGAGGGUGAGAAUCCCGUAUGCGGCCGGGUGCCUACGCUCAUGUGAAGCUCCUUCGACGAGUCGAGUUGUUUGGGAAU